UGAAAUCUCUCUCACGUAUCUCUUCGUAUGCGAAAUCUCUCCAAGUACGUCAAAUCUCUCCCAAAUCUCUCUGAGAACGAGGAAUCUCUCUCAAAUCUCUCUCGAAAUCUCUCCCAACUUUCUAUAAUCACUCGGGGCAUCCCGACCCUCGAAUUUGGCGAAAAUAGCCCAAGAACGGAAGUCUACGCGAAAAACGGACUUAAGGAAACGAACCCUCCGAACCGAAAGUACUAUUCAUGAACCGAACCGAAAGCACUAUUCAUGAGGGUCCGAACCGAAAGUACUGUUCAUGAGCUGGACCGAAGUUACUGUUCAUCCGAACCGAACCCGGCCAUGAAGGAGAUCCGAACCGAACCCUGCUAAGAAGAAAGGUCCGAACCGAACCUCACAUGGAAGGAAGGUCCGAACCGAAGUUACUGUUCACAACAGUACCUUCGGUUCUAGCCUGCCUCGGACCGAACCUCUACCUUCGCGUCGGACUACUUCCCUUCGGACCGAACCACCCGCCUUCACUUCUCGCCUUCGCUUCGGAUAGCAUCACCUCGGACCGAGCCACCCUUCGCGCCUUCGCCUCCGGAUUCAACCACCCGCGUCCGAACCAAGCCCCGCCUGACCGGACUUCGGCCUAGGGACCGAGCUUCGGCCUAGGUCCGAAGAAACUCGCUGGAAAUUACAUUUUUCGCCCGUUUUUGCGUAUUUUUGCGUUUUAAACCCAUUUUUAAUUAUUUUAACAUGGGAUUUUCACCCAAAACUUUAUUUUUAAUUAUAAGACCCCUAAAUUAAUGAUUUAAUCACAUUUUAAGGAUAAAAUCUUAUUUAAAAAGGGGUUGGUAAAGUACAAAAAGAAGAGUGUUGACCUUACCUUAGUUAUGACGCAAGCAACCCCCACACCCACUCCAUGACAACCCACACUCCUCUCCACCAUACCUUGUACUUUUUACCUCCCUCACAAGCCAUCUCCAUGCUUUGAGAGCUGGAUAUUCAUCCUCUCUCCUCAUUUUUCUCUCAUUUGUUCUCAUUUCACAAGAAGAUCAAACUCCUUUCUCUCUCACUCUCUCUCUCUAGAAAUCCGAGAUUCAAGGGCUGAUCUUGAGAGUUUCCUCCACCUUUGGUAAGCAUAAUCCAUUUCCUUUAUGAUUAUCUCAAUUAUUUCCACUCAAAUCAUGGAUAUCUUACACAAACUCCAUUAUAUUUGUGUUAGAGCUUCGAAUCUUCAAGCGAUUCCUCUAGUGUUCUUGGGUUGAACACUUCUCUUCUUUAACACUUAUCCAAUGAAAUCACACAAAGUGAGUUCAUAACCCUACAUUUUCAUGUUUUCUCAAGUUUUUAGGGGGGGAAUACAAGUCAAAACAUCAAGAACAUAUUUAAAUUCUUAUAACAGCUUUCAUCAGAAACGUUAGAUUCC
This 1405-nucleotide long non-coding RNA is filed under the name Lactuca sativa (garden lettuce). RNAcentral describes it as "long non-coding RNA (LSAT_LNC007688)". The record is from RNAcentral. Lineage: Eukaryota; Viridiplantae; Streptophyta; Magnoliopsida; Asterales; Asteraceae.